AGUGAACGCUGGCGGUGGGCCUAACACAUGCAAGUCGAGCGGCAGCACAGUAAGAGCUUGCUGUUACGGGUGGCGCGUGGAGGACGGGUGAGGCAUACAUCGGAUUCUACUUUUUUGCGGGGGAUUACGUAGGGAAACUUACGAUAAUACCGCAUCAGACCUAUGGGUGAAAGUAGGGGUUAUUCGGACUUUGCGCGAUUGACUGAGCGGAUAGCGGCUUAGCAAGUUGGCGGGGUGUAGGAGCACCAAGGCGACGAUCCGUGGCUGGUCUGCUAGGAUGAUCAGCCACACUGUAACUGAGGCACGGUCCAGACUCCUACGAGAGGCAGCAGUGGUGAAUAUUGGACGAUGGGCGCAAGCCUGAUCCAGCCAUACCGCGUGGGUGAAGAAGACCGUCUGGUUGUAGAACCCUUCUGUUGGGAAAGAAAAGCAGCAGGUUAAUACCCCGCUGUGCUGACGGUACCCUAAGAAUAAGCACCGGCUAACUUCGUG
This 492-nucleotide ribosomal RNA is filed under the name uncultured bacterium. Its description in RNAcentral is "partial 16S ribosomal RNA". It matches the Rfam family "Bacterial small subunit ribosomal RNA", at positions 29 to 507 of the family's 1533-position model. The record is from RNAcentral.